AAAGAGAGAGAGAGAGAGAGAACAUUUCCAUGGCUGCUCUCGGCCAACCAUGGUUGAAUGGAAAAAAAAAAUGUUUCUUGUUUUGAUUAAGUUCCAAGGUGAAUUGCAAGUUCAAGGAGGUGAUAGCAACAUUGGGUAUUGAAUUGAGAAAGAAGAAAUAGUGAAAUUGGAGCAAAUAAGUGUAGAAUUUUCUCCGAUUAAAUUAAGGCUAAAGGGGCGACGAAGCGACCUUGGUUACGGUUAACCUGUAACAGGUACAGAUAGUCGGUUUGGUGACCCUUCAGCAUAGGAUUUCUACUCAGCUGUCUUGGAGAGCUUCGUUGUUCCGGAGCCUAGACUUUUGGUACAGAUCUUAUGGUGUAUAUAUAUAUGUUUACCCAGGGGUACGACGGGGCCCUGUCCCGUCAUAUUUCGCUAUCGAUAUUCUUAGAGGUCUGUAGACAUAUGUGUGGGUUGUGUAUAAGUUCUGUUCAGUUGUGUCUAUACGAUGUGCUAUGGAUAUGUUCGUCUGUAAUGGCAGCCUUGUCGGCUUGCAUAUGAUAUGAUGUUCGUCUGUAGUGGCAGCCUCGUCGGCUUGCGUAUCAUUUUAUGAUUUGAUUAGUUGUGACUCCUCAGGGGACAGUAUAUCUGGAUAUAUAUAUAUACA
Molecule: long non-coding RNA, 646 nt
Organism: Lycium barbarum (goji berry)
Lineage: Eukaryota; Viridiplantae; Streptophyta; Magnoliopsida; Solanales; Solanaceae
Exons: 3
Source: RefSeq, a predicted model, not a curated record